This 210-nucleotide long non-coding RNA is filed under the name Phascolarctos cinereus (koala). RNAcentral describes it as "lncRNA (ENSPCIG00000034211.1)". Lineage: Eukaryota; Metazoa; Chordata; Mammalia; Diprotodontia; Phascolarctidae. The record is from RNAcentral.
AGCCACUAGAGAUCUCCAACCAGGACACAACAGAAACAAGACGGCCAGUUCAUAGCCAAAAUUGGUGCUGAUGACUCCGACAAAGCUGGGGCCGAUGAUUCCUGUCCAACCGCAGUUGAAGAUGAAUUAAACUUUCAUACUAAGAUGACAAGGAUUCUAGAAAUAAAAGUCCUCAACAGUCACAUCAAAAGAAAACUCAGGGAAAUUUAC